This 955-nucleotide non-coding RNA is filed under the name Macaca leonina (Northern pig-tailed macaque). RNAcentral's name for it is "12S ribosomal RNA". It matches the Rfam family "Bacterial small subunit ribosomal RNA". The record is from RNAcentral. Lineage: Eukaryota; Metazoa; Chordata; Mammalia; Primates; Cercopithecidae.
AAUAGGCUUGGUCCUGGCCUUUCUAUUGGCUUUUAGCAAGAUUACACAUGCAAGCAUCCCCGCUCCAGUGAAGACGCCCUACAAACCAUUAUGACCAAGAGGAGCAAGCAUCAAGCACGCACNACGCAGCUCAAAACGCUUUGCCUAGCCACACCCCCACGGGAGACAGCAGUGACAAGUAUUUAGCAAUGAACGAAAGUUUAACUAAGCCAUGUUAUAUUUAGGGUUGGUCAAUCUCGUGCCAGCCACCGCGGUCACACGAUUGACCCUAGCUAAUAGAGAUCGGCGUAGAGGGUGUUUAAGAUNNNNCUGACACAAUAAAGCUGAACUCCAUCUAAACUGUAAAACCCUAGCCAAUGUAAAAUAAACUACGAAAGUGGCUUUNAAAGCUUCUGAACACACAAUAGCCAGGACCCAAACUGGGAUUAGACACCCCACUAUGCUUGGCCCUAAACCUCAGUAGUUNAAACAACAAAACUACUCGCCAGAAUACUACGAGCAACGGCUUAAAACUCAAAGGACUUGACGGUGCUUUACAUCCCCCUAGAGGAGCCUGUUCCAUAAUCGAUAAACCCCGAUCCACCCCACCCUCUCUUGCUCAGCCUAUAUACCGCCAUCUUCAGCAAACCCUGAUAAAGGUUACAAAGUGAGCGCAAACGNCCUNNCCCCGCAAAAACGUUAGGUCAAGGUGUAGCCCAUGAGACGGUAAAAAAUGGGCUACAUUUUCUGUAUCAGAAAACCCCACGAAAACUCUUAUGAAAUUUGAGAGUCCAAGGAGGAUUUAGCAGUAAAUUAAGAAUAGAGUGCUUAAUUGAACGAGGCCAUAAAGCGCGCACACACCGCCCGUCACUCCCCUCAAAUAUAUUCAAGGAACAUCUUAACUAAACACCCCAGUGUCUAUAUAGAGGGGAUAAGUCGUAACAUGGUAAGUGUACUGGAAGGUGCACUUGGAUAA